This 74-nucleotide transfer RNA is filed under the name Desulfomonile tiedjei. Its description in RNAcentral is "tRNA-Ser". Lineage: Bacteria; Pseudomonadati; Thermodesulfobacteriota; Desulfomonilia; Desulfomonilales; Desulfomonilaceae. The record is from RNAcentral.
GAUCCUGUUUUUACUUGCUGGUAGAUCGUUCUCUCACGGCGGAGACACCGGUUCGAAACCGGUUGGGACUGCCA